This 407-nucleotide ribosomal RNA is filed under the name uncultured bacterium. RNAcentral describes it as "partial 16S ribosomal RNA". It matches the Rfam family "Bacterial small subunit ribosomal RNA", at positions 30 to 526 of the family's 1533-position model. The record is from RNAcentral.
AUUGAACGCUGGCGGCAGGCCUAACACAUGCAAGUCGAGCGGAGCGGCGGACGGGUGAGUAAUGCCUAGGAAUCUGCCUGGUCGUGGGGGAUAACGUCCGGAAACGGGCGCUAAUACCGCAUCCUAUCAGAUUAGCCUAGGUCGGAUUAGCUAGUUGGUGGGGUAAAGGCGUACCGAGGCGACGAUCCGUAACUGGUCUGAGAGGAUGAUCAGUCACACUGGAACUGAGACACGGUCCAGACUCCUACGGGAGGAAGCAGUGGGGAAUAUGGGACAAUGGGCGAAAGCCUGAUCCAGCCAUGCCGCGUGUGUGAAGAAGGUCUUCGGAUUGUAAAGUACUUUCAGCGGGGAGGCGUUACCCGCAGAAGAAGCACCGGCUAACUCCGUGCCAGCAGCCGCGGUAAUUC